Molecule: long non-coding RNA, 1372 nt
Organism: Symphalangus syndactylus (siamang)
Lineage: Eukaryota; Metazoa; Chordata; Mammalia; Primates; Hylobatidae
Source: RefSeq, a predicted model, not a curated record
AAUAAGGUAGAUAUGAUGGUAUGUGAUAGAAACUGACUAAGAAGCCUGUAUGCAGGGGGUGGAGCUUGGAGUUUCAACUUGAAAGUUUCAAACAUGGGACUCUAAGAAAAUAGUCUGAAUGGUAAUGAGAAAGUUGUCACUUUAGUAUCUGCUUCCCUUGAAGAAAAGCACCUUUAGAGGAACCAGCUUGGAGAAUAGUGUCAGCAUCAAAGUGGGACACUUCAUUAUUUUUAGUGGCAGUGUGGUUCUGACGAGCACACCCUCGGUGACCUUUACUUCACUGUCAGCCCAGCUCUGUCAAUCCUUCUUUAUUAAGGAAGGAAGCUGACGGAUCUUUUCUUUCUUUCUUUCUUUCUUUCUUUCUUUCUUUCUUUCUUUCUUUCUUUCUUUCUUUCUUUCUUUCUUUUCUUCCUUCCUUCCUUCCUUCCUUCCUUCCUUCCUUCCUUCCUUCCUUCUUUCUUUCUUUCUUUCUUUCUUUCUUUCUUUCUUUCUUUCUUUCUUUCUUUCUUUCUUUCUUUCUUUCUUUCUUCCCUGGAGUAGGAUGUUUUCUGUACAUAGUUAGCAUGUGAACUUCUUUUUAAAAAGAAGUUUACAUUUUACUCUAAUUCUCAUCCAGAAUGGAGUGUGGUGAUUUGCAUUUGGGCAGUUAGGAAAAUCAGUUCUGUUGACUUCCUGUUUUCUAUUUCCGGCCUCGAGCAGAACUUCCCAUUUGAGUGAGACCAAGAAGAACAUACAAAGCUGAAAUGUUCUCCCGAAGUUGAUUUCCAAUGGGGAUAAAGUCAGAGUCCCAAAGCUUUAGUGCAGGGUUCCAUGGACUCAGGAGUUCAAAACAUGCUGCUCAGGCUGAGCUCUUGGCCAGAUUUGGAGAUUCCAGUGUCUUCUCCCUUUGACAGUUCCUAAGAAUAUUUUAUUUGGAUCCUUUUCUUUAGGUUUUUCUGUCUAAACAUUUUAUUUUACCUAGUGUGAAGGGGUGAGGGAGGGCAGAUUGCUUCCUUUCUUCCUCCUCUCCCUUUUCCCCUCCCCUCUCCCUUAUUCUCUGUUUAUAAUUUAAAAGGAUGCUUACUUUCAUUUUCUCAUUUGCUUCCUUCACAGCACCCUGUGAGGCUGAUACUGUUAUCCCCCUUUGACAGAAGGGGAAACUGCGGUUUCAGUGAAUUUCAGUGACUUAGCCAAGUCACUCAGUUAACAAUGCUGAGAGUGAAGCCCUAGUCUUCUGCCUUUAGAUCUCUUUUUCCCAAUACCAUACUGCUUUUCUGGUGGAGAUUGUGGUAUAUAGGAUGAUGUCCGAAAGGAGAGGCUGGGAAGCCUGAAACGAUCACAUUGACAACUGAAUUGUCUAUUUUUUCUAAUAAAAUAGAAAAUGUUAACUAAA